Molecule: ribosomal RNA, 301 nt
Filed under: uncultured bacterium
Lineage: Bacteria
Description: partial 16S ribosomal RNA
Rfam family: Bacterial small subunit ribosomal RNA
Source: RNAcentral
CAGCAGCCGCGGUAAUACGUGGGGGGCAAGCGUUGUUCGGAAUUAUUGGGCGUAAAGGGCGCGUAGGCGGUUUGGCAAGUUUGGUGUGAAAUCUUCGGGCUCAACUCGAAGUCUGCAUCGAAAACUGCCGGGCUUGAGUAUGGGAGAGGUGAGUGAAUUUCCGGUGUAGCGGUGAAAUGCGUAGAUAUCGGAAGGAACACCUGUGGCGAAAGCGGCUCACUGGACCAUAACUGACGCUGAGGCGCGAAAGCUAGGGGAGCAAACAGGAUUAGAUACCCCUGUAGUCCCUGUCUCUUAUACA